This 483-nucleotide ribosomal RNA is filed under the name uncultured bacterium. RNAcentral's name for it is "partial 16S ribosomal RNA". It matches the Rfam family "Bacterial small subunit ribosomal RNA", at positions 28 to 507 of the family's 1533-position model. The record is from RNAcentral.
GAUGAACGCUAGCGGCAGGCCUAAUACAUGCAAGCCGAACGGCAAGUUUGAUAGUAAUAUUGGACCUAGAGUGGCGCAAGGGUGCGUAACACGUAUGCAACCUGCCCGCGACCGGAGGAUAGCUCCCCGAAAGGGGAAUUAACCCUCCAUAACAGCAUGAGACGGCAUCUGAUUAUGGUUAAAGCGCAAGGGGUCGCGGAUGGGCAUGCGGCUGAUUAGCUAGUUGGCGGGGUAAAGGCCCACCAAGGCGGUGAUUGUUAGGUGUUCAGGGACGAAGGGCCCCCACAUCGGACCUGGGAUACUGGCCAGACUCCUACGGGAGGAAGCAGUAGGGAGUAAUGGACAAUGGUUGCAACACUGAGCCAGCCAGGCCGCGUGCAGGACGAAGGCCUUCUGGGUCGUAAACUUCUUUUUCCUGUGGAUAAAAUACCCGUGCGCGGGAAAUUGAAGAUAACAGGUGAAUAAGCCACGGCUAACUACGUG